Molecule: long non-coding RNA, 1689 nt
Organism: Symphalangus syndactylus (siamang)
Lineage: Eukaryota; Metazoa; Chordata; Mammalia; Primates; Hylobatidae
Source: RefSeq, a predicted model, not a curated record
CUUAUUUUAAUCAAUAAUCUAGAGAAGAAAAGAAAUGAAGAUAUAAUUAAUCAUAAGGUUCGGAGAGCUCCAUAUCAUGUGACCCAAGUACUCUCUACACAUGACUUUCCUGCCAAAUGAUAUCCACGCUCUUACUGAACUUCUCUUGGAGUGGGGAAUAGGGGUCAAGCCUUCUGAGAUUGUUAACAUUGCGGUAUAUGGUCUCCUUAAGGUUAUCCCUGACACUUAGCACAGAAGAGAUCAUGAAUAUAUGCUAAGGAAGGAAGAGAAAGAGGAAGGGAAGAAACAGAAGAAAGAAAAAGAAAAAGAAAGAAGGAGCAAGCAAAUGAAUGAAUCUAAUCUUCUGGUAGUUUCCUGUCCUGCAUCAUUCCUGGAAGAUCCCCAACAGUGAUGCAUUGAUCUCAUUGACAAAUUCUGUCAGUGCGCUGAUUAACCGUUCCCAAGCUUAUCACUCAGGGCAUAAAUAACUGUGGUUCUUCAAGAUAUUAAUUCAUUCACAGUGAAUAAUUUGCCUCCUAUUUGAUGAUAAUACCAACUAUUGACAAAGCCAAAAUUACUCAACUUGCCAAACAAAAAAACAAAAUCACUUAUUUAGAAAAUGGCUCAUCUGGGAAAGAAGCAGCUACUUUUGAAAUUGACACACAUAAGGCAAAAUUUGCUUCUUUAGGAAAAAAAUAUACAUUUCAAUGGUUCACUUGGCCUCAGUGCCCAAGUUUUUAUGAAGACAAAAGAAAUGGAAAAUGAAGGAAAAGUGAACACAGAGUAGGUAAGCACAUUGAUUUUCUUCAUCACUUGCAUUCUCUUUGAUGAUUUUCCCUGUCUCUAUUUCUAAAUGGAGGGUUCUUAUUAAUCAGGCUUGUGGAAUUGGAAAAGAAAUUCAGUCCAAAAAAUAAAAUUAAUUGUAAACUGGAAACAUUUUCUCACAAAAAGCAACAGUUUUUCUUCCUUGUCACAGCAAAGAUCAUCUUUACAGACAUCCUGUUUUUGAGAUACUGCCCAUUGGCAAUAGAACUCAUAACUGAGUAAAAUUUCCCCAUUUUUAUGAACCAGUAUUUCAAGCUCUGAAAAUGCUACAAUAUAUAAUUUUUAUCAGACAUCCUGUUAGAUAAUCUUAAUAGUAAUAGGGCCCGCCACUAUUUUUUUCUUCUUGAAAGCCUUUUACAGUCUGACUCCAGCAGCUAUAUAUUCAGCCACAUCACCUACCAUUUAGACUUUUGAUUUCACCCUCUCACCCCAAUCUGCACCUUCUCCAGUCUUCCCUAGAUCAGUGAAGGAUAUGACCACCCAGUCAAUGACUCAAGUGAAAAAUUUCAGAAUUACCUUUGAGUCCUCUCUUUGACCCACUACAUCCCAUCCAUCACCAAACCCUUUGACACUGCUUCCAUAACAUCUGCCUAGUCUAUCCAUUUCGAUCCAUUCAUACUACUACCUACCCACACCACUGUUGUCAUUCAGCCGGGCUGCCACAGAAAUUUCUAUUUGGUUUCUUCUUGCUUGUCUAUAGUUUCCACACAGAAGCCAAAGAGAGCUUUGUUAAAACAUAAAUCAGAUCACAUCACUCCCCUGCUUAAAAGCCUCCAGUGACCUUUUAUUCCACUUAGAAUAAAAUCCGUACUCUUGCCCCUGUGUCAUCUGGCCUGCGUGGAGUUCUUUGAUCCUAGCCUUUACUGCCUUAUCAUCUCUCACUGU